This 484-nucleotide ribosomal RNA is filed under the name uncultured bacterium. RNAcentral describes it as "partial 16S ribosomal RNA". It matches the Rfam family "Bacterial small subunit ribosomal RNA", at positions 28 to 507 of the family's 1533-position model. The record is from RNAcentral.
GAUUAACGCUAGCGGCAGGCAUAAUACAUGCCAGUUGAACGGCAGCACAGGUAGCAAUACUGGGUGGCGAGUGGCGCACGGGUGCGUAACACGUAUGCAACCUACCCUAUACAGGCGAAUAACCUUUAGAAAUGAGGGCUAAUACGCCGUAGUAUUACAGAUGGGCAUCUAUUUGUAAUUAAAGAUUUAUCGGUAUAGGAUGGGCAUGCGUCCCAUUAGUUAGUUGGUAAGGUAACGGCUUACCAAGACGAUGAUGGGUAGGGGAUCUGAGAGGACUUACCCCCACACUGGUACUGAGACACGGACCAGACUCCUACGGGAGGCAGCAGUAAGGAAUAUUGGGCAAUGGCCGCCAGGCUGACCCAGCCAUGCCGCGUGCAGGAAGACGGCCUUAUGGGUUGUAAACUGCUUUUAUACGGGAAUAAUAGAGUGUACGCGUACAUUUAUGCAAGUAUCGUAUGAAUAAGCAUCGGCUAACUCCGUG